CGUGACGAGGAGCCCGCAGGCGCCGGGAGUGGGGAGGGAGGGGCUUGUCGGCCCAGUUACCCGGGCUAUGGGCUGCUGGGUGCGGAGGCUUGCAGCUCGCGGGGUUUGCCCGCAGAUGGCUUAGUUUCGGGUGCUGGCCUGGACGGGGUCGUGAGCCCCCUCUUACCAUGUCUGGCUGGCGGCGACCCAGAUGCCACGUGAUGGUCAUUUGAAGACAGGCCUGUCGGAUAUCAGGAAUCCCAAGGUCCAGAUGCCUGCCUUCAGGGACCUGGGCUUUCAGCUCUCAUACCUGGCCCUGGUUGAUGGCCCCGUGCUGAGCAGUGCAUGUGAAGACACACAUGGUGAGGAAAUGGCAGAGUUGCUUCUGGGACUGGAAGGAGACGGGGAAACCUGCCAGAGAGGAACAGGAUUGAGGGGCUCCAGUGCGAGAGGAGAGAAAUGCAGUGCGCAUGGGCUGGAGUUUCUGCGCAGCGUGUGCCUAGAAUUGGAUUCGCCGGUUCGUGGGCUGUGAGCAAAUCCCACUUUGUUAGAAGAUGCUCCUGACUUUCCGAAGUGGCUGACGGAAGCCAGGCUGUCGUAGGAGGCUCCGUGCCCAGUGUGGGGCCCAAUGCGGGGCUUGAACUCACGAUCCUGAGACUAGACCUGAGCUGAGAUCAAGAGCUGGGCUAUUAACUGACUGAGCCACCCAGGUGCCCCCUGUUCUGUCUAGUUAUUAUGAGGUUGUCUCUUACUUGUUGAUUACUAGAGUUCUUGUUGUGUUCUAGGUACUCGCACUUUUGGGGGGUUACAUGAGCUACAGAUAUCCUGUUCUGCAUCAUGCUCUUAGAGUUUGCUCUAUGAGACUUGCACGAGAAACUUUUUAAUUGUCAUUUCAAGCAGACACAAAACACAGAAAACACAAUAAACCCCUCCACUCCCGUCACCCAUUUCAACAAUUGUGUAAUGUUGUGUGAUGAGCAGAAGUUCUUAAUUUUUGUGUCAGCCGCUCUGUGAGCCCCUUUAUUUAGGGUUAGUACUGUCUGCCUCUUGUUUAAGAUGAGGGCUUGAAGGUAUUCUUCUACGUUUUCUUUUGAAAGAUUUUAAUAUUAUCUUUUACAUUUAGACCUUGAAGCUUAAAGCUACUUGAAGCUGAUUUAUGUACAAUAAAGGAAAAGACUCCUUUUUUCCCACAUGGAGACCUCGCUGUCCCAGCACCCUUUCUGAAGGAGCCCGUCCUUCCCCACCUAACCUAGGUCAGCACUUCUGUUAAAAAAUCACAGACAUGGGGUACUGGGGUGGUUCAGUGGGUUAAGCGUCUGCCUUCAGCACUGGUCAUGAUCCCGGGGUCCUGGGAUUGAGU
Molecule: long non-coding RNA, 1339 nt
Organism: Mustela erminea (ermine)
Lineage: Eukaryota; Metazoa; Chordata; Mammalia; Carnivora; Mustelidae
Exons: 5
Source: RefSeq, a predicted model, not a curated record